GCCCCGUUGGCUCAGUGGUAAAGCGUGUCACUAGUACGCGGGCGCGGCGCGGCGCGGCGCGGCGCGGCGCGGCGCGGCAAUGACAAGAUCACUGGUUCGAUUCCAGUACGGGGCA
RNAcentral lists this transfer RNA (115 nucleotides) under Ustilaginoidea virens. It matches the Rfam family "tRNA". Rfam says of the family: Transfer RNA (tRNA) molecules are approximately 80 nucleotides in length. Their secondary structure includes four short double-helical elements and three loops (D, anti-codon, and T loops). The record is from Rfam by way of RNAcentral. Lineage: Eukaryota; Fungi; Ascomycota; Sordariomycetes; Hypocreales; Clavicipitaceae.